Molecule: ribosomal RNA, 744 nt
Filed under: uncultured bacterium
Lineage: Bacteria
Description: bacterial SSU rRNA
Rfam family: Bacterial small subunit ribosomal RNA
Source: RNAcentral
ACGCUGGCGGCAGGCCUAACACAUGCAAGUCGAGCGGUAGAGAGAAGCUUGCUUCUCUUGAGAGCGGCGGACGGGUGAGUAAUGCCUAGGAAUCUGCCUGGUAGUGGGGGAUAACGUUCGGAAACGGACGCUAAUACCGCAUACGUCCUACGGAGAAAGCAGGGGACCUUCGGGCCUUGCGCUAUCAGAUGAGCCUAGGUCGGAUUAGCUAGUUGGUGGGGUAAUGGCUCACCAAGGCGACGAUCCGUAACUGGUCUGAGAGGAUGAUCAGUCACACUGGAACUGAGACACGGUCCAGACUCCUACGGGAGGCAGCAGUGGGGAAUAUUGGACAAUGGGCGAAAGCCUGAUCCAGCCAUGCCGCGUGUGUGAAGAAGGUCUUCGGAUUGUAAAGCACUUUAAGUUGGGAGGAAGGGUUGUAGAUUAAUACUCUGCAAUUUUGACGUUACCGACAGAAUAAGCACCGGCUAACUCUGUGCCAGCAGCCGCGGUAAUACAGAGGGUGCAAGCGUUAAUCGGAAUUACUGGGCGUAAGGCGCGCGUAGGUGGUUAGUUAAGUUGGAUGUGAAAUCCCCGGGCUCAACCUGGGAACUGCAUUCAAAACUGACUGACUAGAGUAUGGUAGAGGGUGGUGGAAUUUCCUGUGUAGCGGUGAAAUGCGUAGAUAUAGGAAGGAACACCAGUGGCGAAGGCGACCACCUGGACUGAUACUGACACUGAGGUGCGAAAGCGUGGGGAGCAAAC